AACGAACGCUGGCGGCAUGCCUAACACAUGCAAGUCGAACGAGACCUUCGGGUCUAGUGGCGCACGGGUGCGUAACGCGUGGGAACCUGCCCUUAGGUUCGGAAUAACUCCCCGAAAGGGGUGCUAAUACCGGAUAAUGUCUUCGGACCAAAGAUUUAUCGCCUGUGGAUGGGCCCGCGUUGGAUUAGCUAGUUGGUAGGGUAAAAGCCUACCAAGGCGACGAUCCAUAGAUGGUCUGAGAGGAUGAUCAGCCACACUGGGACUGAGACACGGCCCAGACUCCUACGGGAGGCAGCAGUGGGGAAUAUUGGACAAUGGGCGAAAGCCUGAUCCAGCAAUGCCGCGUGAGUGAUGAAGGCCUUAGGGUUGUAAAGCUCUUUUACCCGGGAUGAUAAUGACAGUACCGGGAGAAUAAGCACCGGCUAACUCCGUG
This 433-nucleotide ribosomal RNA is filed under the name uncultured bacterium. RNAcentral's name for it is "partial 16S ribosomal RNA". It matches the Rfam family "Bacterial small subunit ribosomal RNA", at positions 29 to 507 of the family's 1533-position model. The record is from RNAcentral.